UGGGGAAUAUUGGACAAUGGGGGCAACCCUGAUCCAGCCAUGCCGCGUGUGUGAAGAAGGCCUUUUGGUUGUAAAGCACUUUAGGCAGGGAGGAGAGGCUAAUGGUUAAUACCCAUUAGAUUAGACGUUACCUGCAGAAUAAGCACCGGCUAACUCUGUGCCAGCAGCCGCGGUAAUACAGAGGGUGCGAGCGUUAAUCGGAAUUACUGGGCGUAAAGCGAGUGUAGGUGGCUCAUUAAGUCACAUGUGAAAUCCCCGGGCUUAACCGGGGAACUGCAUGUGAUAAUUGUGGUGCUAGAAUAUGUGAGAGGGAAGUAGAAUUCCAGGUGUAGCGGUGAAAUGCGUAGAGAUCUGGAGGAAUACCGAUGGCGAAGGCAGCUUCCUGGCAUAAUAUUGACACUGAGAUUCGAAAGCGUGGGUAGCAAACAGG
Molecule: ribosomal RNA, 430 nt
Filed under: bacterium
Lineage: Bacteria
Description: partial 16S ribosomal RNA
Rfam family: Bacterial small subunit ribosomal RNA
Source: RNAcentral